This 917-nucleotide ribosomal RNA is filed under the name Acrogenospora verrucispora. RNAcentral describes it as "SSU rRNA". It matches the Rfam family "Eukaryotic small subunit ribosomal RNA", at positions 174 to 1102 of the family's 1831-position model. Lineage: Eukaryota; Fungi; Ascomycota; Dothideomycetes; Minutisphaerales; Acrogenosporaceae. The record is from RNAcentral.
AAAACCCCAACUCCGGAAGGGGGGAAUUUAUUAAAUAAAAAACCAUGGCCCUUCGGGGCUCCUUGGGGAUUCAUAAUAACUAAACGAAUCGCAGGGCCUUGCGCCGGCGAUGGUUCAUUCAAAUUUCUGCCCUAUCAACUUUCGAUGGUAGGAUAGGGGCCUACCAUGGUAUCAACGGGUAACGGGGAAUUAGGGUUCUAUUCCGGAGAGGGAGCCUGAGAAACGGCUACCACAUCCAAGGAAGGCAGCAGGCGCGCAAAUUACCCAAUCCCGACACGGGGAGGUAGUGACAAUAAAUACUGAUACAGGGCUCUUACGGGUCUUGUAAUUGGAAUGAGUACAAUUUAAAUCCCUUAACGAGGAACAAUUGGAGGGCAAGUCUGGUGCCAGCAGCCGCGGUAAUUCCAGCUCCAAUAGCGUAUAUUAAAGUUGUUGCAGUUAAAAAGCUCGUAGUUGAACCUUGGGCCUGGCUGGCCGGUCCGCCUCACCGCGUGCACUGGUCCGGCCGGGCCUUUCCUUCUGGGGAUCCGCAUGUCCUUUACUGGGUGUGUCGGGGAACCAGGACUUUUACUUUGAAAAAAUUAGAGUGUUCAAAGCAGGCCUUUGCUCGAAUACAUUAGCAUGGAAUAAUAGAAUAGGACGUGCGAUUCUAUUUUGUUGGUUUCUAGGACCGCCGUAAUGAUUAAUAGGGAUAGUCGGGGGCAUCAGUAUUCAAUUGUCAGAGGUGAAAUUCUUGGAUUUAUUGAAGACUAACUACUGCGAAAGCAUUUGCCAAGGAUGUUUUCAUUAAUCAGUGAACGAAAGUUAGGGGAUCGAAGACGAUCAGAUACCGUCGUAGUCUUAACCAUAAACUAUGCCGACUAGGGAUCGGGCGAUGUUACUAUUCUGACUCGCUCGGCACCUUACGAGAAAUCAAA